GUCAACUCCUCUUGGAGAAACAAACUCGACGACUUCCGGUUAUCAUAACAGUUUAGCAGUGCUUUUGGUCCUUAAACUUUGGUUUCCCGGGGUUGUACCACAGUCCGUCUUCUGCCAUAUGGUUAAGCUUUUUCGCAUAAGAGGUGUAGCCAAAAUGUGGCAUUGGCGUAGAGCUCCUGCAUUAACUGCCACUAGUGAAACAGCCUCCCACUCCAGCAAAAGCUCAUCCUGGCUUCCCGACUCCCUUUAACAGAAGGUAUAUAGCUUAUGC
Cheilinus undulatus (humphead wrasse) is the source of this 271-nucleotide long non-coding RNA. RefSeq lists it as uncharacterized. NCBI's taxonomy places the organism in Eukaryota, Metazoa, Chordata, Actinopteri, Labriformes, Labridae. The transcript is spliced from 3 exons. The record is from RefSeq and is a predicted model, not a curated record.